Molecule: small nucleolar RNA, 188 nt
Filed under: Fukomys damarensis (Damara mole-rat)
Lineage: Eukaryota; Metazoa; Chordata; Mammalia; Rodentia; Bathyergidae
Description: Small nucleolar RNA U3
Rfam family: Small nucleolar RNA U3
About the family: Small nucleolar RNAs (snoRNAs) are involved in the processing and modification of rRNA in the nucleolus. There are two main classes of snoRNAs: the box C/D class, and the box H/ACA class.
Source: Rfam by way of RNAcentral
AAGGCUGUUCCUUAGGGAUCAUUUCCGCAGUCCAUUAUUAGAGAAGCUUCUCUGGUCAUGUAGAGUACUGGAAACUCUGAGGAGGAGAAGGCGUAGUGUUCUUUCUUGAGAUUGAAGCCAGCUCUUGCCAUUGAUUAUUCUUACUUUCUCCUUGGAGGGAGUAAAGGGAGGGAACACAGCCAAUGAGA